GGGACCAUGUGACAUAGAUACUAAAAUUGGAAUGAUAGAAGAUUAGCAUGGCCCUUCAAGGAUAACAUACAAAUUUAUAGUGUUCCAUAUUAAA
Molecule: small nuclear RNA, 94 nt
Organism: Mustela putorius furo (domestic ferret)
Lineage: Eukaryota; Metazoa; Chordata; Mammalia; Carnivora; Mustelidae
Source: Ensembl